RNAcentral lists this ribosomal RNA (457 nucleotides) under Staphylococcus aureus. RNAcentral describes it as "partial 23S ribosomal RNA". It matches the Rfam family "Bacterial large subunit ribosomal RNA", at positions 252 to 708 of the family's 2925-position model. The record is from RNAcentral. Lineage: Bacteria; Bacillati; Bacillota; Bacilli; Caryophanales; Staphylococcaceae.
AGCGAAACGGGAAGAGCCCAAACCAACAAGCUUGCUUGUUGGGGUUGUAGGACACUCUAUACGGAGUUACAAAGGACGACAUUAGACGAAUCAUCUGGAAAGAUGAAUCAAAGAAGGUAAUAAUCCUGUAGUCGAAAAUGUUGUCUCUCUUGAGUGGAUCCUGAGUACGACGGAGCACGUGAAAUUCCGUCGGAAUCUGGGAGGACCAUCUCCUAAGGCUAAAUACUCUCUAGUGACCGAUAGUGAACCAGUACCGUGAGGGAAAGGUGAAAAGCACCCCGGAAGGGGAGUGAAAUAGAACCUGAAACCGUGUGCUUACAAGUAGUCAGAGCCCGUUAAUGGGUGAUGGCGUGCCUUUUGUAGAAUGAACCGGCGAGUUACGAUUUGAUGCAAGGUUAAGCAGUAAAUGUGGAGCCGUAGCGAAAGCGAGUCUGAAUAGGGCGUUUAGUAUUUGGUC